GCCUGGCUGGCUCAGUCGGUUAGGCGUCUGACUUCGGCUCAGGUCAUGAUCUCGCGGUCUGCGGGUUCGAGCCCCACGUCGGGCU
This 85-nucleotide transfer RNA is filed under the name Felis catus (domestic cat). It matches the Rfam family "tRNA". Rfam says of the family: Transfer RNA (tRNA) molecules are approximately 80 nucleotides in length. Their secondary structure includes four short double-helical elements and three loops (D, anti-codon, and T loops). The record is from Rfam by way of RNAcentral. Lineage: Eukaryota; Metazoa; Chordata; Mammalia; Carnivora; Felidae.